Molecule: unclassified non-coding RNA, 203 nt
Filed under: plant metagenome
Description: partial contains small subunit ribosomal RNA and internal transcribed spacer 1
Rfam family: Eukaryotic small subunit ribosomal RNA (bases 1-46)
Source: RNAcentral
AAGUCGUAACAAGGUUUCCGUAGGUGAACCUGCGGAAGGAUCAUUACCGAGUGCGGGCUGCCUCCGGGCGCCCCAACCUCCCACCCGUGACUACCUAACACUGUUGCUUCGGCGGGGAGCCCCCCAGGGGCGAGCCGCCGGGGACCACUGAACUUCAUGCCUGAGAGUGAUGCAGUCUGAGCCUGAAUACAAAUCAGUCAAAA